Molecule: long non-coding RNA, 427 nt
Filed under: Nicotiana benthamiana
Lineage: Eukaryota; Viridiplantae; Streptophyta; Magnoliopsida; Solanales; Solanaceae
Description: long non-coding RNA (NBEN_LNC009780)
Source: RNAcentral
UAAACUCAGAGGUAUCACCAAUAUUAACCAUUUUUUACUGAGAAACUUGUAAUUUGUAAGAUAGAAACCCUAAUUGUUCCUAGAUACACAAGGACUUCAGGAAACAAAUUAAUCCUAUGUUUGAACCGACGAGAAGAAGUAUGAGACUAAGAAAACUCAGAAAAAUCAACAAUUACCGAAGAAUAUCCAGAGAAAAUAGAGAGAAAGAGAAAACCCUAGAUUUGCGAGAGAAGACAGAGACGUUGACGAAAAACGGUGAGGGUAACAUCGCGACGGAGCCCGUGACGACCGGAAUCGGAAUCUCUGCUCUAAUACCAUGUCAUGAUUAUUGAUUUCCAUUGAUGAACAUAUUAUUUUCCAGAUGAAAGAGAGAGAGAGAGAAGAACCGAGAGAGUUUCAUUACUGUUCUUGAGUAAAAUGAUACAAC